UGGAACGCUGCAUUCUGAUGGAUAUAUCUUUCCUAUCCUCCUUUGCCUUUUGCUUCUCUUCUUUUCUCACACUAUUCAGCAAUAAAACAGAAUGAAGUUAUACAUGUAACAACAUGGAUAAACAUACAAAACGUGGUAAAUGGGGGCCAAAGCCUUAUACAUUUCUGUAGCAAAGGAAAGCUCUCAAGGAGAGCUGAAACAUGAAGUAGGAUAUAAAACAGAAUGAAAUAAGGAGGAUUUUGGUUUCUGCUUUAUGAUAAGAAUUCUAAAACAUAUUGUCCUAUUGGCGGAAAUAAUGUUGCUGGAGGCAGAGGGGCUAAGUGAGGGGGUGAACCUUGAACAAGUGUGAAUUCUCUGACCCAAGCGGAACAGGUUAGGUCUUGAGAUGGGGCUGCAUGCAUCCUCCUUUCUCACAGGAGGGAAGAAGAGAAAGAUGGUGCAGAGGCAGGAGGGUUUACACCAUCAGAAGGGAGUACAGGUCUGAUCACCUCAGUAUGGCUUUUUCUUCAUUCACCUCACUUGGUGCAUUGGACCUUUCAAACUGAAUGGUUGUAGGUUUGUUUGUUUGUUUCAGAGCAGUUUAGGUUUACAAUAGAAUUGAGGAAUGUACAGAGAUUUCUCAUAUAUUCAUUGCCCACACAUGUGUAUAGCCUCCUCCAUUAUCAACACCAUUCACCAGAAUAGCAUAUGUUUUUACCAAGAAUGAUCUACACUGACACAUCAUAAUCACCCAAUGUCUACAGUUUCCCUCAGGAUUCCCUAUUGGUGCUGUAUAUUCUAUGGGUUUGGACAAAUGUGUAUCUAUCCAUAUAUCCAUCACUUAAUAUAUGUAGAAUAUUCCCACUACUCUAAAAAUCCUCUGUUCUCUGCCUGUUCAUCUCUCCCCUGACUGAGUCCCCUACUGCUACCCCUAGCAACCACUGAUAUUUUUGUUGUGUCCACAGCUUUGCCUUUCCCACGAUAUCAUAUAGUGGGGAUCAGGCAGUAUGCGGCCUUUUCAGAUUGGCUUCUUUCACUUAAUAAUAUGAUUUAAGGUUUCUCCAUGUCCUUUCAUGUCUUGAUAGGUCGUUUCUUUUCAGAACUGAAUAAAUUUCCAUUGUCUGGAUGUAUCAGUUUAUUUAUCCAUUCACCUACGGAAAGGACAUACUGCUUGCUGCAGCAAUGAAUGAGUUCCUGUUGGCUCAUAUCCUCACCAGCACUGGGUAUUGUCAGUCUUCUAGAUGUUGGACAUUCCAAUUCUCUAAUUGCUCCUUUACUAUAAUAUUACUUUUGUUUCAUGAAUGCAAUAGUCUCUAAUUUCUCUGAUUACAAUAAACAUUCAACAGCUUCCUUCUA
Long non-coding RNA from Bubalus bubalis (water buffalo), 1335 nucleotides. RefSeq lists it as uncharacterized. The record is from RefSeq and is a predicted model, not a curated record. The transcript has 2 exons. NCBI's taxonomy places the organism in Eukaryota, Metazoa, Chordata, Mammalia, Artiodactyla, Bovidae.